Molecule: small nucleolar RNA, 69 nt
Organism: Trichogramma pretiosum
Lineage: Eukaryota; Metazoa; Arthropoda; Insecta; Hymenoptera; Trichogrammatidae
Source: RefSeq, a predicted model, not a curated record
ACUUGAAAUGAUGAUUUCUCUACCGCCCCAGUCUGAAGUCUGUGACUGAUUCGGUUAUUCUGAAAAAUU